Molecule: long non-coding RNA, 944 nt
Filed under: Salmo salar (Atlantic salmon)
Lineage: Eukaryota; Metazoa; Chordata; Actinopteri; Salmoniformes; Salmonidae
Description: lncRNA (ENSSSAG00000097567.1)
Source: RNAcentral
GGGGUAGAUGCUGAGUUCAGCUACAUGCUACUGUAGGUUACUCCCCCAUAUGGCUGAGUUCUGUUCAGCUACUUUAGGUUACUCUCCCAUACGGCUAAGUUCUGUUCAGCUGCUUUAGGUUACUCUCCCAUAUGGCUGAGUUGACUGUUCAGCUACUGUAGGUUAUUCUCCCAUAUGGCUGAGUUGACUUUUCAGCUACAUGCUACUGUAGGUUAUUCUCCCAUGCUACUGUAGGUUACUCUCCCAUGCUACUGUAGGUUACUCUCAUGCUACAGUAGGUUACUCUCCCAUGCUACAGUAGGUUACUCUCCCAUGCUACAGUAGGUUACUCUCUCCCAUGCUACUGUAGGUUACUCUCCCAUGCUACUGUAGGUUACUCUCUCAUGCUACUGUAGGUUACUCUCCCAUGCUACUGUAGGUUACUCUCCCAUGCUACAGUAGGUUACUCUCCCAUAUGACUGUAGGUUACUCUCCCAUGCUACUGUAGGUUACUCUCCCAAGCUACUGUAGGUUACUCUCCCAUGCUACUGUAGGUUACUCUCCCAUGCUACUGUAGGUUACUCUCCCAUGCUACUGUAGGUUACUCUCCCAAGCUACUGUAGGUUACUCUCCCAAGCUACUGUAGGUUACUCUCCCAUGCUACUGUAGGUUACUCUCCCAUGCUACUGUAGGUUACUCUCCCAUGCUACUGUAGGAUAAUAUCUGGAUUGUUUCAUAAUAACUCUUGUCUGGUGUGGGAUGUGCAGUUCCGGAGUGCAGAGAAUAACUUGUACUGAUGUGGAUUGGAGCAAACAAACCAUCUACAUAGUGGUGAUGUGUACGUUUUAGAUUAUAUUAUUACUAUUAUUUUACUAAGGUUGUAUAUGUUUUACAUUAUAUUAUUACUAUCAUUUUAUUAAGGUUGUGUUCGUUUCACAUUAUAUUAUUACUAUUAUUUUAUUAAG